This is a long non-coding RNA of Trichoplusia ni (cabbage looper), 1401 nucleotides long. RefSeq lists it as uncharacterized. The record is from RefSeq and is a predicted model, not a curated record. Lineage: Eukaryota; Metazoa; Arthropoda; Insecta; Lepidoptera; Noctuidae. The transcript is spliced from 3 exons.
UAAAGUGGCCCAUGAUGAAUGAAAGUUAUUUGUUAUCACUGGUUCAAACUUAGGCCAUUCAUUUAAACUUUUGAAAUUGUAAAUGCUUACAAUUAUGAGUUUAUUAUACAAUAAUUAAUUUCCUUCUUGGGAAUAGGUUUUGGCAGAGAGAAAUAUUUUUUGCGAGUUUGAUUUAUUAGGUAAAUUAUUUUUGUGGUUUAGUGCAAGUGCAGCGGAAUCGGAGUGCGGGUCGCAGACGUCGCUGGCGCUGGACCUGCACGGCAGCGGCGCGUGCGCAGGCAUCACACUGCGCGUGCGCGACAACACGCGCCGCCGCCCGCUCGCGCGACAGCAGCGCCUGCGCGAUGAUACCGUGCAUCCUACUCCAGUGCAAAGUAUAAACAAUUUAAAUAACGUGGAAGAGCCCACAUUCAGAACGGAAGAUGAAGAUAUAAGUAAAAACAACAUCGAGAUGAUGCAUUUAAGCGUGGAGCGGGAGGUGCGUGCCAGCAGCGCGCCGCCGGCGCCGCGCGCGGAGCUGUCACCGCCACCGUCGCCGCGGCUCGUGGUCACGUCCUGCCUCGGCGACGGCCCGCCCGCGCCUGACACCUGCAUCACAAUGGAACCCUCUGCCACGACCCCCGACGAUGCCCCCACUACACCCAAAUGAGAAUUACCCUCGUCUCCACAAAGCGAGACACCUUAACGCCCUAUCGUACGCCAGAAGACGACUCUUGUUGAUAACAUUUUGAAGUCAUUAUACAAUUUUCGGUUACCCAUAAACUAAAAAGGUGUAUAGUACAUAUAUUAUGUACAUACAUACAUUUACCGAGUUUUCGAUGAGUCUUCAUAAAACGAUGGCAAUUAUUAUCUAUUUUUUAGACUUACUAUUGUAGUUAUAAUGGACUUGAUGUAUGCUUAAAAAUGUUUUCAUUACCCAAAUAAUUUAACUAUUAAAAAAAACGGAUAGAAUGUACGGUCAUGAAUCUGAUUUGAUUUUAACGUGCUUCAAUAGCAAGACUUUGGAAUAAAAAAGUAUCCAAAUAAUAUAUAAAUGGCAGGUAGUGUCUUCAGUAUAAAUAACGUCAUUUUAUAUUGAACUUUAUACACUUUAAGAUAGAGUUAAUAAGAAUUGUGAAAUGUGUACAGGAAAUGAUCAAAAGUGGUUACAAAAGUGCUACGAGAACCGUAGCAAAGCCCGUAGCGCGAUCCGUAGUCCGUAGCAGAACGUAGCAGGAACACAAAUUUAAACAUUAUAACCCUUAUUAAUAUAAUCGUCGUAGUUACAUAGUACAAUAAGAGUUGUUACGUACGGUAUGUUUUUCUACUUACGUUAUUAGUAAUGACUUUUUCAUAACAUUUUUAAUAACUCUUUACUACUACCGAACAAAAUUUCUUGUUCGUCGGUGAGAUGUACUUUUA